GACGAACGCUGGCGGCGUGCUUAACACAUGCAAGUCGAACGGAAAGGCCCUGCUUUUGUGGGGUGCUCGAGUGGCGAACGGGUGAGUAACACGUGAGUAACCUGCCCUUGACUUUGGGAUAACUUCAGGAAACUGGGGCUAAUACCGGAUAGGAGCUCCUGCUGCAUGGUGGGGGUUGGAAAGUUUCGGCGGUUGGGGAUGGACUCGCGGCUUAUCAGCUUGUUGGUGGGGUAGUGGCUUACCAAGGCGUUGACGGGUAGCCGGCCUGAGAGGGUGACCGGCCACAUUGGGACUGGGAGACGGCCCAGCCUCCUACGGGAGGCAGCAGUGGGGAAUAUUGCACAAUGGGCGGAAGCCUGAUGCAGCAACGCCGCGUGCGGGAUGACGGCCUUCGGGUUGUAAACCGCUUUCGCAUGUGACGAAGCGUGAGUGACGGUAAUGGGUAAAGAAGCACCGGCUAACUACGUG
This 468-nucleotide ribosomal RNA is filed under the name uncultured bacterium. RNAcentral describes it as "partial 16S ribosomal RNA". It matches the Rfam family "Bacterial small subunit ribosomal RNA", at positions 28 to 507 of the family's 1533-position model. The record is from RNAcentral.